UACGUAGGUGGCGAGCGUUAUCCGGAAUUAUUGGGCGUAAAGGGUGCGUAGGCGGCACAUUAAGUCUAAGGUUAAAGUUCGAGGCUCAACUUCGGAUUGCCUUAGAAACUGGUGAGCUAGAGUGCAGGAGAGGGCAAUGGAAUUCCAUGUGUAGCGGUAAAAUGCGUAGAUAUAUGGAGGAACACCAGUGGCGAAGGCGGUUGCCUGGCCUGUAACUGACGCUGAGGCACGAAAGCGUGGGGAGCAAAUAGG
RNAcentral lists this ribosomal RNA (252 nucleotides) under uncultured bacterium. RNAcentral describes it as "partial 16S ribosomal RNA". It matches the Rfam family "Bacterial small subunit ribosomal RNA", at positions 524 to 776 of the family's 1533-position model. The record is from RNAcentral.